CUACGUGCCAGCAGCCGCGGUAAUACGGAAGGUCCAGGCGUUAUCCGGAUUUAUUGGGUUUAAAGGGAGCGUAGGCCGUGGAUUAAGCGUGUUGUGAAAUGUAGACGCUCAACGUCUGAAUUGCAGCGCGAACUGGUUCACUUGAGUAUGCACAACGUAGGCGGAAUUCGUCGUGUAGCGGUGAAAUGCUUAGAUAUGACGAAGAACUCCGAUUGCGAAGGCAGCUUACGGGAGCACAACUGACGCUGAAGCUCGAAGGUGCGGGUAUCAAACAGGAUUAGAUACCCUGGUAGUCCGCACAGUAAACUAUGGAUGCCCGUUGUUAGUUCACUUAAGAAUUAGCGACCAAGCGAAAGCAUUAAGCAUCCCACCUGGGGAGUACGCCGGCAACGGUGAAACUCAAAGGAAUUGACGGGGGCCCGCACAAGCGGAGGAACAUGUGGUUUAAUUCGAUGAUACGCGAGGAACCUUACCCGGGCUUGAA
This 484-nucleotide ribosomal RNA is filed under the name uncultured bacterium. RNAcentral's name for it is "bacterial SSU rRNA". It matches the Rfam family "Bacterial small subunit ribosomal RNA", at positions 501 to 985 of the family's 1533-position model. The record is from RNAcentral.